GAUGAAGAACGUAGCGAAAUGCGAUAAGUAGUGUGAAUUACAGAAUUCAGUGAAUCAUCGAAUCUUUGAACGCACAUUGCGCCCUUUGGUAUUCCUUAGGGCAUGCCUGUUCGAGCGUCAUUUAAACCUUCAAGCUCAGCUUGGUGUUGGGUGACUGUCCGCCGUCUCCGGGCGGUCGGACUCGCCUCAAAUUGAUUGGCGGCCGGUACUUUGGCUUCGAGCGCAGCAGAAACGCGAACUCGAGGCCGUCGUCCUGGCUCCCAGAAGCUAUCUUCACAAUUUUGACCUCGGAUCAGGUAGGGAUACCCGCUGAACUUAAGCAUAUCAAUAAGCGGAGGA
This 339-nucleotide unclassified non-coding RNA is filed under the name soil metagenome. Its description in RNAcentral is "partial contains 5.8S ribosomal RNA, internal transcribed spacer 2, and large subunit ribosomal RNA". The stretch from base 1 to 120 matches the Rfam family "5.8S ribosomal RNA", at positions 35 to 154 of the family's 154-position model. The record is from RNAcentral.